Molecule: non-coding RNA, 1684 nt
Organism: Cinara cedri
Lineage: Eukaryota; Metazoa; Arthropoda; Insecta; Hemiptera; Aphididae
Source: the annotation of a GenBank genome assembly
AUGAAUCGCUUUGUACAAAUUUUAAAAUUGUCCAAGAAAAACAAAUAUACUUAGUACCUAAAAAUAUUAAAAAACAAAUUGCAUGUUAAAAAUUAAUGUUGAAGUGUUAGGUACCUAUCAUCUAUAAGAUUAUAGAAAAAAUGUAUGUAAUAUUAUAAAACUAGUGGUUUAAGGAGUUUUUUGUCUUUCAUAAAAAUUGUUAAAAUUUGAAAAUGUGUUCAUUCUGCAUUUAGUGAUUCAUAUAUGAAUAAUAUAUUAGGGUGGUUCUUAUUUGGAUGAUGGUGAAAUUCUUUUUUUGACGCCCUCUAAUUUUGUUCGUAAGAAAAAACUGAGCCCUAUUUGAGCUUCCUAGGUUAAUUUUUUCGUUCUCCUGUAACGAGGUAAAGUUUUCCAUUUGAACUAUACAACAAUACAAGUAUACAAAGCAUUCUACAUCACUUUCUUUCUGUUAAUUAUUAAUUUUUUCUCGGUUUCCUUAAAUUUGGUCAAAAUAUCGGGAAAAUCAAUGAAUUUUUAGCGUGGUAGAUCUUUGAAAAUCGUAUAAACACAUCGAAUAUGAGUCAUUCUGUAUUAACUAUCAAUGUAAACUCUAUUAAUAAUUAUUUAAUCGAUAAACAUUAAUUUUAUCUAAUUAAUAUUAACACUUUAUAUUAAAAUUAUUAAAGUUUACAAUAAUUAAAGUUAUUGUAUGGUUUAUUUAAAAUAACAUAGGUAUUUGCUACAUCAACCGAAAACGGGUGACAACAUGUGAUUACAUUAAUAGUGACAACUUUGGAAUUGAUAUUUUUCCGAUACUCGCGUAAUACACAAUCUGGUUUCAUUUAGUUUGUGAUAUACUGAAUACUGAUAUAGGUACCUACGUAACUAACAGUAACUAAUCGGUUAUUGUAAUUCCAAAUUUAAGGAAAUCGAGAAAAAAUAAAUAAUUUACAGAAAGAAAGUGGCAUAGAAUGUUUGAUAUUCUUAUACAUUUGUUUUCAUCCCCUUAUAAAGUAUUUUCUCUUCGAUAAUUUCCAUGCGAGAAAAAUUGUUUACGUUUAUUUGUUAACAAUUCGUUAUGCCUUAUGUAAACAAAAUUCAGAAUAAACGUAAAACCAAUGUAUUUUAAAUGGAAAAUCUUACUUCGUUACAGGGGGAUUUAGUCCUAGGAAGCUCAAAUAGGGCUUAAAAUAUAUAUUUUUUUUUCGAAUAAAGUUAGGGAACGUCAAAAAAAUGUUCACCAUCGCCCAACUAAAAACCACCCUGGUAUAUACCUACAUAAAAAUUUUAGCCACCCACAAACGGUCUCAAAAUCAACAAAAGUAAACACAUACUAUACUGAAACGCCGCUUGUAUAUGUAUUUACACAUUAUAUUAUUUACAUAUUAUUAUUAUUUACAGGGUGUUGGUAAAAACGUUUGUGUACGCGCAUAUCGCUUAUCUCGUUAUUACUACUAAUGUAAUAAUUAUACUAAUUAGGGAUUUGUCCCGGAUCCCGGGAAUAAAGACCAAUAGCCCUGCGAUUAUGUUAUGAGCUCUGAGUUUCAGACCGAUCGUCCGCGUAUAUUGCGUCAACCAGGGGCGAUUUUUGACUGGUCGCAAAUGAGAGGCCGAAAAGAAAUUUCCCUUUUUCAAUUAUAUUGUUAACGAACAAUCAUAACGAUAAACGACAAAAUCACGGCUAUAAGUAAUAGGUAUUUUAACG